AGUCGAACGGGACUCUUAGGAGUUCAGUGGCGGACGGGUGAGUAACGCGUGAGAAUCUGGCCUCAGGUUCGGGACAACCACUGGAAACGGUGGCUAAUACCGGAUGUGCCUUUGGGUAAAAGAUUAAUUGCCUGAGGAUGAGCUCGCGUCUGAUUAGCUAGUUGGUAGGGUAAGAGCCUACCAAGGCGUCGAUCAGUAACUGGUCUGAGAGGAUGACCAGUCACACUGGGACUGAGACACGGCCCAGACUCCUACGGGAGGCAGCAGUGGGGAAUUUUCCGCAAUGGGCGAAAGCCUGACGGAGCAAUACCGCGUGAGGGAGGAAGGCUCUUGGGUCGUAAACCUCUUUUCUCAGGGAAGAAAAAAUGACGGUACCUGAGGAAUCAGCAUCGGCUAACUCCGUGCCAGCAGCCGCGGUAAUACGGAGGAUGCAAGCGUUAUCCGGAAUUAUUGGGCGUAAAGCGUCCGCAGGUGGCAAUUCAAGUCUGCUGUCAAAUACCGGGGCUUAACCCUGGAAAGGCAGUGGAAACUGAAUAGCUAGAGUGCGGUGGGGGCAGAGGGAAUUCCCAGUGUAGCGGUGAAAUGCGUAGAGAUUGGGAAGAACACCGGUGGCGAAAGCGCUCUGCUAGGCCGCAACUGACACUCAUGGACGAAAGCUAGGGGAGCGAAUGGGAUUAGAUACCCCAGUAGUCCUAGCCGUAAACGAUGGAUACUAG
RNAcentral lists this ribosomal RNA (716 nucleotides) under uncultured cyanobacterium. RNAcentral's name for it is "bacterial SSU rRNA". It matches the Rfam family "Bacterial small subunit ribosomal RNA", at positions 60 to 819 of the family's 1533-position model. Lineage: Bacteria; Bacillati; Cyanobacteriota. The record is from RNAcentral.